This is a non-coding RNA of Phrynosoma platyrhinos (Desert horned lizard), 72 nucleotides long. The record is from the annotation of a GenBank genome assembly. NCBI's taxonomy places the organism in Eukaryota, Metazoa, Chordata, Lepidosauria, Squamata, Phrynosomatidae.
GCCAAUGUGGCGUAGCGGUUUCAGCGUUGGACUAUGACUCUAGAGACCAGGGUUCGAAUCCUGGCUCGGCCG